This 253-nucleotide ribosomal RNA is filed under the name uncultured bacterium. RNAcentral's name for it is "partial 16S ribosomal RNA". It matches the Rfam family "Bacterial small subunit ribosomal RNA", at positions 524 to 776 of the family's 1533-position model. The record is from RNAcentral.
UACGGAAUGUGCAAACGUUAUUCGGAAUCACUGGGCUUAAAGAGUCCGUAGGCGGCUUGUUAGGUGAGGUGUGAAAGCCCUCGGCCCAACCGAGGAAUUGCGCUUCAAACCGGCAAGCUAGAGGAGGAUAGAGGUGGGCGGAACUGAUGGUGGAGCGGUGAAAUGCGUUGAUAUCAUCAGGAACACCGGAGGCGAAGACGGUCCACUGGGUCCUUUCUGACGCUGAGGGACGAAAGCUAGGGGAGCGAACGGG